Toxotes jaculatrix (banded archerfish) is the source of this 349-nucleotide long non-coding RNA. RefSeq lists it as uncharacterized. Lineage: Eukaryota; Metazoa; Chordata; Actinopteri; Toxotidae. The record is from RefSeq and is a predicted model, not a curated record. The transcript is spliced from 3 exons.
CCGAUAGUUGUGUUCCUUUGUCACCUGCCUGAGUGUUGUACCUCUGCUCAUGCAAACAGAGAGAGGGGCCACAUAAUGGUGUUACUGCAGAUGACCAAAAUAUUGAAAGAUCCUGUGAUCCACACAUCUCACUGCGAUGUUUUCGGCUAAAGUGCAGUCGAACAGCACGGGCUCCUGGGAUACGAUGCCUAUCUGGGACCUCAACCAGUGGAUGUUCAGAUACUAAGAGUAACCUACAGUGAUGAUCUUGGAGAAGAUGACUGCAAACAGUGGCUGCAUUACUCCGUUGAUGAUGGCACAGAUGGUUCCCACCACGAUGUAUGGCCACUCGGUAACGUUGAGACGCAUC